GAAAGGCGUGGGGAGCAAACAAGUUUAGAUACCCUUGGUAGUCCACGCUGUAAACGAUGAAUGUUAAAUAUGGGAAGUUUUACUUUCUGUAUUACAGCUAACGCGUUAAACAUUCCGCCUGGGGACUACGGUCGCAAGAUUAAAACUCAAAGGAAUUGACGGGGACCCGCACAAGCGGUGGAGCAUGUGGUUUAAUUCGAUGCAACGCGAAAAACCUUACCACUCCUUGACAUGGAAAUUAUACCUAUUCGAAGGGAUAGGGUCGGUUCGUCCGGGUUUCACACAGGUGUUGCAUGGCUGUCGUCAGCUCGUGUCGUGAGAUGUUGGGUUAAGUCCCGCAACGAGCGCAACCCUCAUCCUUAGUUACCAUCAGGUAAUGCUGGGGACUUUAAGGAAACUGCCAGUGAUAAACUGGAGGAAGGUGGGGAUGAUGUCAAGUCAUCAUGGCCCUUAUGGAGUGGGCUACACACGUGCUACAAUGGUGGCUACAAUGGGCUGCAAAGUCGCGAGGCUAAGCUAAUCCCUUAAAAGCCAUCUCAGUUCGGAUUGUACUCUGCAACUCGAGUGCAUGAAGUUGGAAUCGCUAGUAAUCGUGGAUCAGCACGCCACGGUGAAUACGUUCUCGGGUCUUGUACACACUGCCCGUCACGCCAUGGGAAUUGGUNUCACCCGAAGCUAAUGACCUAACCGCAAGGAGGGAGUUAUUUAAAGUGGGAUCGGUGACUGGGGUGAAGUCGUAACAAGGUAGCAGUAGGGGAAUCUGCGG
Molecule: ribosomal RNA, 766 nt
Filed under: uncultured bacterium
Lineage: Bacteria
Description: bacterial SSU rRNA
Rfam family: Bacterial small subunit ribosomal RNA
Source: RNAcentral